RNAcentral lists this ribosomal RNA (659 nucleotides) under Bifidobacterium longum. RNAcentral describes it as "bacterial SSU rRNA". It matches the Rfam family "Bacterial small subunit ribosomal RNA", at positions 63 to 734 of the family's 1533-position model. Lineage: Bacteria; Bacillati; Actinomycetota; Actinomycetes; Bifidobacteriales; Bifidobacteriaceae. The record is from RNAcentral.
CGAACGGGAUCCAUCAAGCUUGCUUGGUGGUGAGAGUGGCGAACGGGUGAGUAAUGCGUGACCGACCUGCCCCAUACACCGGAAUAGCUCCUGGAAACGGGUGGUAAUGCCGGAUGUUCCAGUUGAUCGCAUGGUCUUCUGGGAAAGCUUUCGCGGUAUGGGAUGGGGUCGCGUCCUAUCAGCUUGACGGCGGGGUAACGGCCCACCGUGGCUUCGACGGGUAGCCGGCCUGAGAGGGCGACCGGCCACAUUGGGACUGAGAUACGGCCCAGACUCCUACGGGAGGCAGCAGUGGGGAAUAUUGCACAAUGGGCGCAAGCCUGAUGCAGCGACGCCGCGUGAGGGAUGGAGGCCUUCGGGUUGUAAACCUCUUUUAUCGGGGAGCAAGCGUGAGUGAGUUUACCCGUUGAAUAAGCACCGGCUAACUACGUGCCAGCAGCCGCGGUAAUACGUAGGGUGCAAGCGUUAUCCGGAAUUAUUGGGCGUAAAGGGCUCGUAGGCGGUUCGUCGCGUCCGGUGUGAAAGUCCAUCGCUUAACGGUGGAUCCGCGCCGGGUACGGGCGGGCUUGAGUGCGGUAGGGGAGACUGGAAUUCCCGGUGUAACGGUGGAAUGUGUAGAUAUCGGGAAGAACACCAAUGGCGAAGGCAGGUCUCUGGGC